CGGAUUGCAGACGCUUGUCGUCUCGCCUAUAUAGGACGGGCCGGCUUCCAGCCGGCUAUGGCGAUAAACGGUGGCGUUGCAUAGACGCAGCGGACCCGGGGGCAGUACCCGGCGGCUCCACCACCGCAGCUGAGCGAUCAGAUGCGAUGACGGGGCCGAACUAGGAUCGACGUGUGUUGAAAUGCGCUGUCUUUCGCUCGGAAUGGGACCACCGCAACGGCCCAUUACACAAGUGCCAACGAUAACGAAGCACUCGCGAUUGCGGCGUAACUGAGAGCCUAACGGCUUAAGGUUAUUCCAAGAUUACGCGGUUGGGCCCACCGGGCAACAGAAGGGAUUCCAGCGGUACGGGGAGCACCGGGCAACAGAAGCUCCCCACC
Molecule: transfer-messenger RNA, 380 nt
Filed under: Sphingomonadaceae bacterium OTU29THOMA1
Lineage: Bacteria; Pseudomonadati; Pseudomonadota; Alphaproteobacteria; Sphingomonadales; Sphingomonadaceae
Rfam family: Alphaproteobacteria transfer-messenger RNA
About the family: Bacterial tmRNA, also known as 10Sa RNA or SsrA, is named for its dual tRNA and mRNA-like properties. Its role is to liberate the mRNA from a stalled ribosome. To accomplish this part of the tmRNA is used as a reading frame that ends in a translation stop signal.
Source: RNAcentral